CCUACGGGCGGCUGCAGUAGGGAAUCUUCGGCAAUGGGGGGAACCCUGACCGAGCAACGCCGCGUGAGUGAAGAAGGUUUUCGGAUCGUAAAGCUCUGUUGUAAGAGAAGAACGUGUGUGAGAGUGGAAAGUUCACACAGUGACGGUAACUUACCAGAAAGGGACGGCUAACUACGUGCCAGCAGCCGCGGUAAUACGUAGGUCCCGAGCGUUGUCCGGAUUUAUUGGGCGUAAAGCGAGCGCAGGCGGUUUGAUAAGUCUGAAGUAAAAGGCUGGGGCUUAACCAUAGUAUGCUUUGGAAACUGUCAAACGUGAGGGCAGAAGGGGAGAGUGGAAUUCCAUGUGUAGCGGUGAAAUGCGUAGAUAGAUGGAGGAACACCGGUGGCGAAAGCGGCUCUCUGGUCUGUAACUGACGCUGAGGCUCGAAAGCGUGGGGAGCAAACAGGAUUAGAUACCCCGGUAGUC
RNAcentral lists this ribosomal RNA (465 nucleotides) under uncultured Streptococcus sp. RNAcentral describes it as "bacterial SSU rRNA". It matches the Rfam family "Bacterial small subunit ribosomal RNA", at positions 338 to 795 of the family's 1533-position model. The record is from RNAcentral. Lineage: Bacteria; Bacillati; Bacillota; Bacilli; Lactobacillales; Streptococcaceae.